GACGAACGCUGGCGGCGUGCUUAACACAUGCAAGUCGAGCGGAACUUGAGAGCUUGCUCCCAAGUUUAGCGGCGGACGGGUGAGUAACACGUGGGUAAUCUGCCCUCAAGUGGGGAAUAACACAGAGAAAUCUGUGCUAAUACCGCAUAAUGUAUGCUGGUCGCAUGGUUGGCAUAAAAAAGAUUUAUUGCUUGAGGAUGAGCCCGCGGCCCAUUAGCUAGUUGGUGAGGUAAAGGCCCACCAAGGCCACGAUGGGUAGCCGACCUGAGAGGGUGAUCGGCCACAUUGGAACUGAGACACGGUCCAGACUCCUACGGGGGCAG
Molecule: ribosomal RNA, 323 nt
Filed under: uncultured Bacillota bacterium
Lineage: Bacteria; Bacillati; Bacillota
Description: bacterial SSU rRNA
Rfam family: Bacterial small subunit ribosomal RNA
Source: RNAcentral